This 253-nucleotide ribosomal RNA is filed under the name uncultured bacterium. RNAcentral describes it as "partial 16S ribosomal RNA". It matches the Rfam family "Bacterial small subunit ribosomal RNA", at positions 524 to 776 of the family's 1533-position model. The record is from RNAcentral.
UACGUAGGGGGCUAGCGUUGUCCGGAUUUAUUGGGCGUAAAGAGCGUGUAGGCGGCCAGGUAGGUCUGGUGUGAAAACUCGAGGCUUAACCUCGAGAUGUCAUCGGAAACCAUUUGGCUAGAGUCCGGAAGAGGAGAGCGGAAUUCCUGGUGUAGCGGUGAAAUGCGCAGAUAUCGGGAGGAACACCUAUGGCGAAGGCAGCUCGCUGGGACGUUACUGACGCUGAGACGCGAAAGCGUGGGGAGCAAACAGG